GGCCGGGGGUGGGGUGGGGUGUGUAUGGAGGCAAGGAGGCGUGGUGUGCGAGGGAAGCUCUUUGCGGAAUGGGUCGCGCCUGCGCAGCUCGCCGUAGCUGUCAUCCGCGUACGGAACAACAAGUCCUACUUAAAUCGAGGGGCACGUGAAUAGUUACUGCCGUACAUAGAUUGUUGGAUUGAUGCAGAAAGCAGUUACCAGUUUAACAGGUAUAGCACCAAGCAGCCAUGGCCACUCAAUCGUUGGACCCUCCUCCAAAUGCAAGCUGUAAAAUCAUGACUUUUCACCCUACUAUGGAUGAAUUCAGGGAAUUUAACAAAUACUUGGCAUAUAUGGAAUCGAAAGGUGCUCACCGUGCUGGAUUGGCAAAGGUAAAUGUCUUAAUGUGCUGUGGAUCGCAUAACAAUGAAUGUUAACACAUAUGCCCCCUAUCCAUACUUUCUUUCAAAAUUGCAUUACUAAUAAACACAUGUAUUAGCACAGUGUUGUUUGACAUAUUGCUAAGUAUCAUUUGACAAAAUCACAUUUUUAUUUUAUGCCAUAUGUCAAACAGUUUAACUGAGUGUGGUCUUCCAUGCUUCCAUGCAUCUACUAAUGUAUGUAAAUGUUACACAAUACUGUAUAAAAAUCAUGCAAAAUACAUUCUUUGU
Non-coding RNA from Pogona vitticeps (central bearded dragon), 650 nucleotides. The record is from RefSeq and is a predicted model, not a curated record. NCBI's taxonomy places the organism in Eukaryota, Metazoa, Chordata, Lepidosauria, Squamata, Agamidae.